This 508-nucleotide ribosomal RNA is filed under the name uncultured bacterium. RNAcentral describes it as "partial 16S ribosomal RNA". It matches the Rfam family "Bacterial small subunit ribosomal RNA", at positions 30 to 523 of the family's 1533-position model. The record is from RNAcentral.
AUUGAACGCUGGCGGCAUGCCUUACACAUGCAAGUCGAACGGCAGCGGGGGAGAAGCUUGCUUUUCCUGCCGGCGAGUGGCGAACGGGUGAGUAAUACAUCGGAACGUGCCCUGUAGUGGGGGAUAACUAAUCGAAAGAUUAGCUAAUACCGCAUACGACCUGAGGGUGAAAGUGGGGGACCGCAAGGCCUCAUGCUAUAGGAGCGGCCGAUGUCUGAUUAGCUAGUUGGUGGGGUAAAGGCCUACCAAGGCGACGAUCAGUAGCUGGUCUGGGAGGACGAUCAGCCACACUUGGACUGAGACACGGCCCAGACUCCUACGGGAGGCAGCAGUGGGGAAUUUUGGACAAUGGGCGAAAGCCUGAUCCGGCAAUGCCGCGUGUGUGAAGAAGGCCUUCGGGUUGUAAAGCACUUUUGUCCGGAAAGAAAUGGCUCUGGUUAAUACCUGGGGUCGAUGACGGUACCGGAAGAAUAAGGACCGGCUAACUACGUGCCAGCCGCCGCCGUAA